AUGAUAAGGACAGCAGAGUGUCUCGGAUCUGUACUGAUUUUUCUGUUGAUUCUCCUCCAUAUCUCCCCUUCUGUAAUCUGUGUACUAGUUUCUCCUCGUCCCUAUACCUUAAUUUCUUCCUUUUUUGCAGUUUGUUUUUUUCUUUUUCGUUUUAGAUUUCCACCCCAUUCUUCUGUAAUUCGUUUUGGAUUUUAUAGCUUUUAG
Molecule: non-coding RNA, 204 nt
Organism: Vicia faba (fava bean)
Lineage: Eukaryota; Viridiplantae; Streptophyta; Magnoliopsida; Fabales; Fabaceae
Source: the annotation of a GenBank genome assembly